UAUCCCGCUCUGCCACCGCCCCCCCUGCUCCACCGAACUGACCUCUUCUUCGAGCGUGAGUCGCUCCUCUCCCCGACACCCUCGUACGCGCUAGGGUUUCAUGCGCCGCCGCCGCCGCCGGUCCUCUCCAACACCGCGACGGGCUUCACGACCUACUUCGGCCUCAGGCCUUAAUGCUUCCUAUGCUUCUGCGUCUACCGACUCUUCGGCGAGGAGGACGUACAUCAGGCAGCAGGUGACGCGCGGUGGCUGCACGAAUUCCUCUACGGCGGAGAUCUCCAGGAUGGGUGCUUGUCUUCUCGGAAGAAGGAGACGAUGAAGGAUGCAGAGUAGGAAGGCAACAUGGAAGGGGAGGUGGUGUGUUCUUGAUGAUAAUCGAAGAAGAUCGUGUUGGCUGCUGUUCAAGGGACGACAACCAAAGAAGAAGAAGAUGAUUGCUAUGUUCUGCUGGAUCAGGAUUCUGGAAGACCACAAAGAGGAAUAAGACAAGCAGGCACAUGUGUACCGUCAUGGGCAGCAAAACGAUGAGUAAACCCAAGAACAUCAAGGAGGGAUUAUGUUGGUUGCGGCUGCAGUAGCGUGACAGAUCAAGCGAGCUAGGUUGUGCCAUGUCUGGUCCUCUUCAAACGGUGGACACCGGGUGCUUACGAUCGACGUGACGGCGGCGGUGCAAGAGCAUGGUGUAGCUGGUCUGAGAGUGGCGAUGGACUCAUUGCCCGUUGCUACUAUAUCAUCCAAAGUAGUGGCAGGGCGCAGCGGCACGAACGGCUCAACCUCUGUCUUGAUCAUCCCAUUACCAUGGAGGCGCUUUACUUAUUAUGCAACUGCAGGUAGUACAUUGUAGAUGGUGAUCCAAAAUGCAUAGAAACGUGGGUAGAGAUGGGAACUAUCAAAGCGAUUGGAACUAUCUGGGACAAACAGCGUCAUCAUCUUAUACUGCUAACAUGAUUGACCGAUCUAGGAGAUACUUAUGAGCUUCUGAAGCUCGAUUGUUCAGAUUAUCAUGGACGAGAUGACAAUGAAGAGCCUGAUAUAGUCCACCAUAACAUCAAUGCAUCAUUGCCCUGCUAUUUCAUUACACCAGACAGUAAUCAUAUUUUACUGGCAAUCAGCUAAUCAGUGACUGUAGUGAUGUUCUCAUCAUCAAGGUACUGCAAAUAGGUGUUUGUUUAAUUAAAUUAGACAUGUGGCAAAAUUCUUCUAAAGAUGACACUGAUAUUCUCCAUCAAAGUACUAAAUAUGACUUCCGUUGACAGUACUCAUAUUUAUGCUUCCGUUACUGAAAUCUUCAUGAGUGUGGAUCCUAUAUGAUUCUCUUCAUAUAAAAUACUACUAUUUUGGGAAAGGCAUCUAGCUGAGUUUUAAUAAAACUCUUCAGCGAAAAAUAUUUCUAACGGUGUUACAACGACAACUGACAAGGACUGCCACGAUUAGAGCUACCAUUUGGCCCCAUGUUUCAGUAUGCAGUCAAGCAUGCAAUAAAGGUAAUGACACGGCAUUUUGUAGUUUCGGGUAGUGCAUGUAGUUUUGGCCAAAUUGUAUGUUACAGUUGACACCGUAGGAGAUUGGAAUUCUGAAUUUGGAUGCUUUCAUCCAGAUCAAAGAAGUAGAAUACUCCCUCCGAUCCAAAUUACUUGUCGUUGAAAUAGAUGCAUCUAUAAUUGACAUUCAUCUAAGAUACAUCCAUUUCAGCAACAAGUAAUACGGAUUGGAGGGAGUAUCAAAUUUGUUGUGUUGAAGUCGUUAUGGAGGUGACAAGGAAUCUAUAUUGCUCUGUAGACGACGUCAUUGUGCAUUUCAAUAUAUAUUGCUCUGUAGAAAAAUACAUUUAUGUGGAGUAUGCUUCAGGAUGGGUGACCUCCUGGGAAGUCCUCGUGAAAGGGUUUCAUAUCUAGCCUACCCCAACUUGUUUGGGAUAAAAGGCUUCGUAAAGGAAAGGAGUAUGCUUCAGGUAAUUCACCAAUGCAUUUGUUUCAUCAUUUCUUUUUGACUAUUAACUGCGUGAGCAAGUGUCUAAUAAUAGUAAAGUUCCCCAUUGGGUCGCUACUACAACUAAAUGGGCUUGUGAAUAGCUGUAGAACGUACUCUAUUUUGUUCCCCACUGAAGGGCAAUGUUCAUAUUGGUCUCUCGAAAGAACUGAAAGAAAUGCAGCCUUGACAAUUGAAUGCCCACAUUCCUUGUUGGAGAUCAUAGAGCUAUAUACAUUAAUGAGUUAUUAUGUUGAUGCACACUGCAUUGCAUUUACUAAACUUGUUUUCUUCUUACCAGAUUCAGUGGUAAUGUAAUUUUGGUUGGGUAGGGGUUUGUGAAGAAAACUAGCAAGGUUCAUAAGAUGCACCCAGGUGGAAUACUUACUUUCCAAAUGUCAAGUAUUUUUUUAAAGAUUAGACAUAUAAAUGUCUGAGUCGUUUGUGUGCUUGUCAAAUAUCAUGCAAAAAUGAUAAGGAGGACGAGGUUAUGAGGUAAUGUGCUUGGGCAGGAGGAAGAGGUACUGGUUCAACCCAUGAAAGUUCUUAGCUCAUAAUUGCUACCAAUUCUACAGAAAAGGUUGUGAUUUUGUUAACCUGACUAGAGCUUUCAUGUUAUGUCAGUCCUUUAUUUAGAUGAUUUAGUUGUUGACCUACCAUUCCUUUCUAGAUGAUUACUUGUGGUUCUUUUACUAAGGCAGUGCAUCUAGGGUUUCUUUACUUGCUCACUGACCCUUCAGUUCAAUGACGGCCAAUGCAGUAGAAUCGAGGCUGCAACUCUGGCACUUCAAAGAGGAAAAGAAAAGAUGACUACUUCAUGGCGAGGGCAUAUUUCCUUCACUGCUUCCACUGCAGGCGAGGUGUUCGAUGAAAUGACCGGAAGCGGUGAUUCGAACAAUGCCACUGCCGAGUUCGUGAACUUGUUGGACACCAACGCCGUCGACAUCGAUCAAGCCCCGUUCACUGAUUUUGAUUACAAUGAAAUGGAGGGUGGUGUGGAUGAUCACGGCGGUGAUGAUGAAGUGGAGGAGGUAGAUGAGGGGGCGUAUGAGCAAGCGCAAGCAAAAAAAGCAUGAGAUCGAAGAACUACAUGAUCUUGGAAGAUCAAAUCUUGAUCAAGGCUUGAAGUGCAGUGUCUCUUGAUGCUUGCACAGGUACAUCUCAUACCUCCAAGAGAUAUUGGCAAAGAAUCGAAGAUCCAUACUUCCGCGUGAUGGCCAAGCAUCUCUACUCCUAAUGGAGCAGUUGGUAGUCUCGCUUCCAGGCAAUAAGCGCUUCUACAUGCAUCCUCCUGUUGGUCCCUAAAGUACCAAGGUAAAUGGUUGAUGUUGCGUUUGUCUAGGAUGAUAUAUGUUGGCUCUGUUCCGGUUCAUCCGAGCAGUUCCGGUACAUCGUGCAUUUAUCUUGCCAGUAAUGUUCUGUGAUGCUCUGAUGCACUUUGGGAAUUGUUUAUCUUGUCUUUAGUGCAGAACAUUUGUUUAUUAAUGCAUGAGAAGAAUCCUUGUUACUA
Molecule: long non-coding RNA, 3478 nt
Organism: Triticum dicoccoides
Lineage: Eukaryota; Viridiplantae; Streptophyta; Magnoliopsida; Poales; Poaceae
Exons: 8
Source: RefSeq, a predicted model, not a curated record